MicroRNA precursor from Medicago truncatula (barrel medic), 115 nucleotides. It matches the Rfam family "MIR2593 microRNA precursor family". Lineage: Eukaryota; Viridiplantae; Streptophyta; Magnoliopsida; Fabales; Fabaceae. The record is from Rfam.
AUAUAAGCAAAAAACUAUAUUUUAGGUUCAUUUAUUUAAUGAUGCACAUGGUCUUUAUUAUAUACCACAUACAUCAUUAAAUAAAUGAACCUAAAAUAUAGUUGUUUGCUUAUAU